GAUUUUCCGGUUGAUCCUGCCGGACCCGACUGCUAUCAGAGUGGGACUAAGCCAUGCGAGUCAACAUAGCAAUAUGUGGCAUACGGCUCAGUAACACGUAGUCAACAUGCCCAGGGGACAUGGAUAACCUCGGGAAACUGAGGAUAAACCGCGAUAGGUCAUCACUUCUGGAAUGGGUAAUGACUUAAAUCUAUAUGGCCCCUGGAUUGGACUGCGGCCGAUCAGGCUGUUGGUGAGGUAAUGGCCCACCAAACCUGUAACCGGUACGGGCUCUGAGAGGAGGAGCCCGGAGAUGGGCACUGAGACAAGGGCCCAGGCCCUAUGGGGCGCAGCAGGCGCGAAACCUCUGCAAUAGGCGAAAGCUUGACAGGGUUACUCUGAGUGAUUUCCGUUAAGGAGAUCUUUUGGCACCUCUAAAAAUGGUGCAGAAUAAGGGGUGGGCAAGUCUGGUGUCAGCCGCCGCGGUAAUACCAGCACCCCGAGUGGUCGGGACGUUUAUUUGGCCUAAAGCAUCCGUAGCCGGUUCUACAAGUCUUCCGUUAAAUCCACCUGCUUAACAGAUGGGCUGCGGAAGAUACUAUAGAGCUAGGAGGCGGGAGAGGCAAGCGGUACUCGAUGGGUAGGGGUAAAAUCCGUUGAUCCAUUGAAGACCACCAGUGGCGAAGGCGGCUUGCCAGAACGCGCUCGACGGUGAGGGAUGAAAGCUGGGGGAGCAAACCGGAUUAGAUACCCGGGUAGUCCCAGCUGUAAACGAUGCAGACUCGGUGAUGAGUUGGCUUAUUGCUAACUCAGUGCCGCAGGGAAGCCGUUAAGUUUGCCGCCUGGGGAGUACGGUCGCAAGACUGAAACUUAAAGGAAUUGGCGGGGGAGCACCACAAGGGGUGAAGCCUGCGGUUCAAUUGGAUUCAACGCCGGAAAU
Molecule: ribosomal RNA, 919 nt
Filed under: uncultured archaeon
Lineage: Archaea
Description: bacterial SSU rRNA
Rfam family: Archaeal small subunit ribosomal RNA
Source: RNAcentral